Pan troglodytes (chimpanzee) is the source of this 8661-nucleotide RNA transcript. It is a transcript of the gene named sushi, nidogen and EGF like domains 1, with no coding region annotated. Lineage: Eukaryota; Metazoa; Chordata; Mammalia; Primates; Hominidae. The transcript has 34 exons. The record is from RefSeq and is a predicted model, not a curated record.
UUCCUCUGCGGAGCUGCGGCGAGAGCGCGGCCCGGCCGAACGGGCGCGGGACGCGGAGCCCCCGACGGCGCGACCAGCGGGCGCGCCCGCGCUCCCCGCACCCCGCCUGGCCCUGCCGGCCACCCCCGCGCGCAGCCUAGUCCCCCAGCGCCCUGCUCCGCCAGCGCCCCGUCCCGCCCGCACACCCCCGCGAUGCGGCACGGCGUCGCCUGGGCGCUGCUGGUGGCCGCGGCCCUGGGGCUUGGGGCGCGCGGGGUGCGCGGCGCGGUGGCCCUUGCCGACUUCUACCCGUUCGGCGCCGAGCGCGGCGACGCCGUCACCCCCAAGCAGGACGACGGCGGCUCGGGGCUGCGGCCGCUCUCGGUGCCCUUCCCGUUCUUCGGUGCCGAGCACUCCGGACUCUACGGUCUCCUCCACCACGUGCCCUCUAGUGCGCCUCCCACCCCACAACUGCCAACACCAUCCACAGCGCCCACUGCGUUUUCCCCACCUGCUCAGGAAGGCCUCCCCACCUCGGUGGCAGCACUGGGUGACCUGACUGUGUGGGAGGGGCAGCCAUGCUGUCGGUGCUACCCCCUGAAAGUCCCUCUGGACCAGGACUUGGACAGAGGAAUGGGACUGACUCCUGGAAGUACGAAGUGGGUAGGACAGAAUGGUGCUCAGCGUUGGCCCGAGCUGGAGGAGGCCUGUCCACUUGAGGUGAACAACAACGGGAUCAUCUCCUUCCUGAAGGAGGUUUCUCAGUUCACUCCAGUGGCCUUCCCCAUUGCCAAGGACCGCUGCGUGGUGGCAGCCUUCUGGGCAGAUGUGGACAACCGGCGUGCAGGCGACGUGUACUACCGGGAGGCCACCGACCCAGCCGUGCUGCGCCGAGCCACGGAGGACGUCAGGCGCUACUUCCCCGAGCUCCUGGACUUCAGUGCCACCUGGGUUUUUGUUGCCACCUGGUACCGAGUGACCUUCUUUGGAGGCAGUUCCUCAUCCCCUGUCAACACGUUCCAGACUGUGCUCAUCACAGACGGCAAGCUCUCCUUCACCAUCUUCAACUAUGAGUCCAUCGUGUGGACCACAGGCACGCACGCCAGCAGCGGGGGCAACGCCACGGGCCUCGGGGGCAUUGCAGCCCAGGCUGGCUUCAACGCAGGCGAUGGGCAGCGUUACUUCAGUAUCCCCGGCUCGCGCACAGCAGACAUGGCCGAGGUGGAGACCACCACCAACGUGGGUGUGCCCGGGCGCUGGGCGUUCAGAAUCGAUGAUGCCCAGGUGCGCGUGGGGGGCUGCGGCCAUACAACCUCCGUGUGCCUGGCCCUGCGCCCCUGCCUCAACGGCGGCAAGUGCAUCGACGACUGCGUCACGGGCAACCCCUCCUACACCUGCUCCUGCCUCUCGGGCUUCACGGGGCGGAGGUGCCACCUGGACGUGAACGAAUGUGCCUCCCAGCCCUGUCAGAAUGGCGGGACCUGUACUCACGGCAUCAACAGUUUCCGCUGCCAGUGCCCAGCUGGCUUUGGGGGACCCACCUGUGAGACAGCCCAAUCCCCCUGUGACACCAAAGAGUGUCAACAUGGUGGCCAGUGCCAGGUGGAGAACGGCUCUGCAGUGUGUGUGUGCCAGGCCGGAUACACCGGAGCAGCCUGCGAGACGGAUGUGGACGACUGCAGCCCUGACCCCUGCCUGAAUGGAGGCUCUUGUGUUGACCUAGUGGGGAAUUACACCUGCUUGUGUGCCGAGCCCUUCAAGGGACUUCGCUGUGAGACAGGAGACCACCCAGUGCCAGACGCCUGCCUCUCGGCCCCUUGCCACAAUGGGGGCACCUGUGUGGAUGCGGACCAGGGCUACGUGUGCGAGUGCCCCGAAGGCUUCAUGGGCCUGGACUGCAAGGAGAGAGUCCCCGAUGACUGUGAGUGCCGCAAUGGAGGCAGAUGCCUGGGCGCCAACACCACCCUCUGCCAGUGCCCCCCGGGAUUCUUUGGGCUUCUCUGUGAAUUUGAAAUCACAGCCAUGCCCUGCAACAUGAACACACAGUGCCCAGAUGGGGGCUACUGCAUGGAGCACGGCGGGAGCUACCUCUGCGUCUGCCACACCGACCACAAUGCCAGCCACUCCCUGCCAUCACCCUGCGACUCGGACCCCUGCUUCAACGGAGGCUCCUGCGAUGCCCAUGACGACUCCUACACCUGCGAGUGCCCGCGCGGGUUCCACGGCAAGCACUGCGAGAAAGCCCGGCCACACCUGUGCAGCUCAGGGCCCUGCCGGAACGGGGGCACGUGCAAGGAAGCGGGCGGCGAGUACCACUGCAGCUGCCCCUACCGCUUCACUGGGAGGCACUGUGAGAUCGGGAAGCCAGACUCGUGUGCCUCUGGCCCCUGUCACAACGGCGGCACCUGCUUCCACUACAUUGGCAAAUACAAGUGUGACUGUCCCCCAGGCUUCUCCGGGCGGCACUGCGAGAUAGCCCCCUCCCCCUGCUUCCGGAGCCCAUGUGUGAAUGGGGGCACCUGCGAGGACCGGGGCACGGAUUUCUUCUGCCACUGCCAAGCAGGGUACAUGGGACGCCGGUGCCAGGCAGAGGUGGACUGCGGCCCCCCGGAGGAGGUGAAGCACGCCACACUGCGCUUCAACGGCACGCGGCUGGGCGCAGUGGCCCUGUAUGCAUGUGACCGUGGCUACAGCCUGAGCGCCCCCAGCCGCAUCCGGGUCUGCCAGCCACACGGUGUCUGGAGUGAGCCUCCCCAGUGCCUUGAAAUCGAUGAGUGCCGGUCUCAGCCGUGCCUGCAUGGGGGCUCUUGUCAGGACCGCGUUGCUGGGUACCUGUGCCUCUGCAGCACAGGCUAUGAGGGCGCCCACUGUGAGCUGGAGAGGGAUGAGUGCCGAGCUCACCCCUGCAGAAAUGGAGGGUCCUGCAGGAACCUCCCAGGGGCCUAUGUCUGCCGGUGCCCUGCAGGCUUCGUUGGAGUCCACUGUGAGACAGAGGUGGACGCCUGCAACUCCAGCCCCUGCCAGCACGGAGGCCGGUGUGAGAGCGGCGGCGGAGCCUACCUGUGCGUCUGCCCAGAGAGCUUCUUCGGCUACCACUGCGAGACAGUGAGUGACCCCUGCUUCUCCAGCCCCUGUGGGGGCCGUGGCUAUUGCCUGGCCAGCAACGGCUCCCACAGCUGCACCUGCAAAGUGGGCUACACGGGCAAGGACUGCACCAAAGAGCUCUUCCCACCAACGGCCCUCAAGAUGGAGAGAGUGGAGGAGAGUGGGGUCUCUAUCUCCUGGAACCCGCCCGAUGGUCCAGCCGCCAGGCAGAUGCUUGAUGGCUACGCGGUCACCUAUGUCUCCUCCGACGGCUCCUACCGCCGCACGGACUUUGUGGACAGGACCCGCUCCUCGCACCAGCUCCAGGCCCUGGCGGCCGGCAGGGCCUACAACAUCUCCGUCUUCUCAGUGAAGCGAAACAGUAACAACAAGAAUGACAUCAGCAGGCCUGCCGUGCUGCUGGCCCGCACGCGACCCCGCCCUGUGGAAGGCUUCGAGGUCACCAAUGUGACGGCUAGCACCAUCUCAGUGCAGUGGGCCCUGCACAGGAUCCGCCAUGCCACCGUCAGUGGGGUCCGUGUGUCCAUCCGCCACCCUGAGGCCCUCAGGGACCAGGCCACCGAUGUGGACAGGAGUGUGGACAGGUUCACCUUUAGGGCCCUGCUGCCUGGGAAGAGGUACACCAUCCAGCUGACCACCCUCAGUGGGCUCAGGGGAGAGGAGCACCCCACAGAGAGCCUGGCCACCGCGCCGACACACGUGUGGACCCGGCCCCUGCCUCCAGCAAACCUGACCGCCGCCCGAGUCACUGCCACCUCUGCCCACGUGGUCUGGGAUGCCCCGACUCCAGGCAGCUUGCUGGAGGCUUAUGUCAUCAAUGUGACCACCAGCCAGAGCACCAAGAGCCGCUAUGUCCCCAACGGGAAGCUGGCUUCCUACACGGUGCGCGACCUGCUGCCGGGACGGCGGUACCAGCUCUCUGUGAUAGCAGUGCAGAGCACGGAGCUCGGGCCGCAGCACAGCGAGCCCGCCCACCUCUACAUCAUCACCUCCCCCAGGGAUGGCACCGACAGACGCUGGCACCAGGGAGGACACCACCCUCGGGUGCUCAGGAACAGACCACCCCCCGCGCGCCUGCCGGAGCUGCGCCUGCUCAAUGACCACAGCGCCCCCGAGACCGCCACCCAGCCCCCCAGGUUCUCGGAGCUUGUGGACGGCAGAGGAAGAGUGAGCGCCAGGUUCGAUGGCUCACCCAGCAAAGCAGCCACCGUGAGAUCACAACCCACAGCCUCGGCGCAGCUCGAGAACAUGGAGGAAGCCCCCAAGCAGGUCAGCCUGGCCCUCCAGCUCCCUGAACACGGCAACAAGGACAUCGGAAGUCUGGACUUGCUGCUAGCCCCUGUGAGCACCAGGAGGACUGGUUUGUGCAUCCGACGCAGAGAGUGAAGGAUUCUCUUAAUUCAGACGUCCCUGGCAACUGUUCAGAAAACCCCUGUCAGAACGGAGGCACUUGUGUGCCGGGCACAGACGCCCACAGCUGUGACUGCGGGCCAGGGUUCAAAGGCAGACGCUGCGAGCUCGCCUGUAUAAAGGUGUCCCGCCCCUGCACAAGGCUGUUCUCCGAGACAAAGUCCUUUCCAGUCUGGGAGGGAGGCGUCUGUCACCAUGUGUAUAAAAGAGUCUACAGAGUUCACCAAGACAUCUGCUUCAAAGAGAGCUGUGAAAGCACAAGCCUCAAGAAGACCCCAAACAGGAAACAAAGUAAGAGUCAGACACUGGAGAAAUCUUAAGGAUUUAAGACGUUCUUGUUACACUCCACCAACCUCACGAGUUUCUAACACCCAGGAAGAUGAGGUCUAAAAACUGGAUGAAAAAGGACACCCUGAGAGAAAAGGUCCUAGCUGGAGUCAGUCCCCUCUGUGACCUCUCUCCUCAGGCCUCUAGAGGACAGAUGGCCAGGCCUGUGCACACACCAGCCCGCCCUGAGAGACCCCUCUGGGACCAACCACCUGUGAGUCCUGCGAUGCGUUUCAGCAGCCUGUGCCCUCACCCAGGCUGCAGUUCCUGAAGGUGUGGUCUGUGUCUCUGCGGAUGAGAUGACAGCUCGCCAUUCCCCGGGAUCCGUGAGGCUGUCAGUCAGCCACGCUUCUGCAGUAUGCAGAAACCUGUUCUUAGACUCCAAAGCCAGAGAAAGAAUUCUCCCUUCGAGGCCCAACAAAUUGAGAAGGAACUGUGAUGGACCACUUCCAAAACAGAGACGGGGGCAGGGGCUGAAGGGCAGAGACCAGGUGAUGUCAGAAGGAAUGCCGGGUUGCAGACACAGCCGCCCCUGCUCUGGUCCUCCAGCGUGUUUAUGACGCUCGUGCAGGUCGACGAGCCAUCCUACGGACUAGUUAACACUAAGGUGGAGUUCAGACUUUUUUAGACAACGGCGCGACUGGCAGCCUUUCACUGUCAAGGGUCAGACGGUAAACAUUUUCAGCUUUGCAGACCAGAGGUCCCUGUGGCUACAGUAGCGCAGACACAGCCACAGGCAUGUCAUUGAAUGGCUGCGGCUAUGUUCCAAUCAAAACUUAUUUACAAUAACAGGUGGUGGCCAAAUUGGCCCAUGGGCCUUAUUUGGUGAACCCUGUUCUAUGAGAUCACCUAGGCUUCAGCCUUCAACAGUGGAAGCCAUCCCCUGAAUGACAAGUCACAAGGGUAUCAAAGACCCCUGAAUUUUCAUGGAAAAAGCUAUCCAGACCCCUGCUUGGAAAGCUAAGGCACACUGCCACGAAGCAGCAAGGACGCCUUACAAGUCUCAGUGCAACAGAGAUGGACACCUGGGCUGGGCUGGACAAUGUUUAAGGUUCCUUUCAGUCCAUGACUCAAGUGAUACUGUUUUAGGCUAUCAGGUAGUAAACACGAUCUUAGACAUCCCCAUCUUCGUAAGCAGAACAGUACGGCACUUCACCACAUCUGCUUCCCACCGUGCUUCUAAGCAGCUGUCUUCCCCCUGCUAAUGUUACAACCAAAGCAGCCACCCCACCUCCUCAAGUGUUGAGCCUCACGACGGCUGACCCAGCUGGAAAGCCAGCGCCCUGCCGCGUCACCCUGACUCUGCUCAGAGCCAGCAUUCCAGCCACAAAGAGGGCCUCCUUCCUUUCCUCUUUCAUAAAAAUGUUUUUUGAAGAGUUGAGUAUAUUUUAGGCUUUUUAUCUUUAUUAAAAUUUCAUGUGCAUGUGUCUGUGUAUUCUGCAAUUUGUCAUUUUCAGAAAGAAGGAACAGGCAAUUCGAGAAGUUUCACCUGUACUCCCGAGCUGUUCCCCAGGCUCCAGACCCACUUGAGAGCAGAAGGUGGAGCUCAAUGAAGGGUCUCGAGCUCAGCGAAGGGUCACUGGGUGAACUGAGAGAAACCACGUUCACAAACGCGUACUGCGGACUUCCUGCAGCCCUGGGACCUGUCACUGUUUGUCCAUGUAAGAUACAGCAUUACUAGCAGAUGCUAAGAUCGAGUGAUAUCACUGGAAAAGUAGGUGAAUCCUACUAGGAAACUUUCUACUCCCUACUAGGACCUCAAGCCCCUCAGCCACACAGCAAAUGCUAAUAUGCUCCAGUGUUGGCUUAGAAGCCUUUGUGUCAACAAGAACUGGCUCCUGAGUCCCAAGCUUGGUGCCACACAGCAAAUGCUAAUAUGCUCCAGUGUUAGCUUAGAAGCCUUGUGUCAACAAGAACUGGCUCCUGAGUCCCAAGUGCUGUCACAAGACUUGCCCACUGGGAUGUUUUCCACAUUAAAUAUCGAGUAAAAAGACUUCCUGGUGCUCAGGAAUUACAGUUCGUUCUUGAAACAUUCCAAAGAGGCCACCACAGCUUUUCCCAUGUGGCUUCUUUUACAAACUCGAAUGGCUUCCUUGAAAAUACUCAAAGUCCACCCAAGGAAAUUAGUAAUAAUAGAAUCAGAAAACUGUCAGGAGCAUAAAGAUUUACUUCUCUAUCAAAAUGAAAGAAGCAAUCAUGAGUUGCUGAAUUACCCAUCUGCUAAUGAAACCGGGAUGGACUGAUCAUCUAACCAAGUGCAGACUGAGGAUUCUACUUAGUCAUCCGAUUGGGUACAACAACAGCAGCCUAGGUUCUAGGGAGGGUGGCAGUGACCGGGAUGCCACAAUGGAAGAGAAAAUGAAAACACUGGCACAGUGAAAUGUCUCAUUUCCAAACAGUUUUGCCUAUGGCCAAGCAAGGCAAUAAAGACAAACUCUCCCUUUUCCCCAUUGCAUGUGGGCUGCCAGGUACAAGUAAGGGAAUCUUUGCUGUGCCCACUGUCCUCCAGUAGAGAACCCAACAGGCAAGGGCCCCACUCAGGUAUCAGCUCACCUCCUGCACCUCCCCUAAGCAGGAACUCCUUCCACUGGCAAAGGACUGCCACUGCCAUCUGACUCAACUGUGGCGAUGUGGACGGAGUCACCAAGCUGCUUUUCUUUUGCAAAACAAAAGUCUUUUUCUUUGCAGUCACCGCUGUAAGACGAGGCUGCUGGAGAAAACAAAAGCACCUAGAUUUCAGUGCUGAAUCCCCACAAUUGCAUGCAGCUCACACCUACCAGGGGUAUUCCAGUGCAUAGGGGAAAGGAACCCGGCUGAAAAACCAGCUCCUUAUUUUUCUUUUAAAUAAAAUAAUACAAUCCUAAGUCCAUUUACCAUCUGAAGUUGUCACGAGCGAACAGUCACGUUACUGUUGUGGACCAGGCCUUAGAUGAGUUUCUCAGGCUCAGCACUGACAUUCUGGGCCGGAUCAGCCUCUCUUGUGGGACCAUCCUGUGCACUGCAGGAUGCUUUAUAGCACCCCUGGCCUCUACCCACUAGAAUCCUACAAUCUACCAGAUCCUAGGAUCUAGCUGAUCCUAGAAUGCUACCAAGGAGACUUGAAUUUUGGUCCCAUCAUCAAAAAUGCCUUCUGCAUCAAUCCUAUGCCAAUUUCCCCUAAAAGAGGGCUAACUGGAAUGUUCUAGGAUGUACCAACCCUCCAGGACCCUCUUAGAGCUCAUGCCAUCAGAGACAGGCCUCCACCUCAGGGAUCACCCCGGCUGACAUCAAAUUCCUCUUCUCUUUUCCCAACAUUUCACAUUGUUCUUCGGACUCACUGAGUUCCCUAAGGUGACACGCCCCCCCCCACACCCACCUUGGGGGGUCACGGAUUGCUCCCUGUGGCCCUGGCUUCAGCCCACCUGCUCCAUGACCCUAUGCUCUUCUCCUCUGGUUCUCGAAGCUGUCUGUAACCAGGGCAGGGGAGAUAACUGUAUGGGACCAUUCCCUGGCCUCCACCUGCCCCAGCACUCUCCAGGCCAGCACAGUCUGGCACUACAGACUACAGGGCUGGAGACACCAGGCUUGGAAGUGACCACUGGCCAAGAGCUGACAUAAAAGCCAACUUCCCCGAACAGGAAGGGCCUGUUCUUCACAAAGAUAAAGAAAACUGCCAGCAUUUUGCUGGCCUUAAGAAGCCAUGCAAAAUUAACCAGUACAUCAUGAAUUAACUUCUUUUACUCUGCUGUGCACUGAAUACCAUUAUGAAGCAAUAUACUUUUGGACUAAAAAUAAGCAUUUUUGUGGAAAAUCUGCUACAUGUUUUCAUAAAAUAAAGUGCUAUGAUGUACUAAAACCUCA